This 430-nucleotide ribosomal RNA is filed under the name uncultured bacterium. Its description in RNAcentral is "bacterial SSU rRNA". It matches the Rfam family "Bacterial small subunit ribosomal RNA", at positions 353 to 798 of the family's 1533-position model. The record is from RNAcentral.
AUUGGGGAAUCUUCCGCAAUGGGCGAAAGCCUGACGGAGCAACGCCGCGUGAGGGAUGAAGGCCUCUGGGCUGUAAACCUCUUUUAUCAAGGAAGAAGAUCUGACGGUACUUGAUGAAUAAGCCACGGCUAAUUCCGUGCCAGCAGCCGCGGUAAUACGGGAGUGGCAAGCGUUAUCCGGAAUUAUUGGGCGUAAAGCGUCCGCAGGCGGUCUUGUAAGUCUGUUGUUAAAGCGUGGAGCUUAACUCCAUUUCAGCAAUGGAAACUGCAAGACUAGAGUGUGGUAGGGGCAGAGGGAAUUCCCGGUGUAGCGGUGAAAUGCGUAGAUAUCGGGAAGAACACCAGUGGCGAAGGCGCUCUGCUGGGCCAUAACUGACGCUCAUGGACGAAAGCCAGGGGAGCGAAAGGGAUUAGAUACCCCUGUAGUCAAU